CAAGGAUUAAGAAGGCAUGUUUCUGUUUCCUCACUUUCUUCACUCCAGACUCAGCGUGAUGUGAAACCUUCAUCCAUCUGGAGGCCAGAAGAAAGCGUCAUAUCCUUUGGAGCUAGAGUUGCAGGUAGUUGUCAACUACAAGGCGAAGGCGUGUAGCACCAAGGGAAUCAAACGCCGAGAGCAAAUCAAAUCCUUGUCCUCUGCCAGAGCAGCCAGCACUCUUCACCACUGAGCCAUCAGGUGCCUGCAGGAGAAUGGCUGUGUGAUCAGAAGAGGAAGACAAAAACAAAGAGCGUUAGUGGCACAUGGGUGAAGACAGAAGCAAACACAAGCUCAAAAGACUGAAGCAUAUGUCUGGUUGCUUCUCAGGGG
This is a long non-coding RNA of Meriones unguiculatus (Mongolian gerbil), 372 nucleotides long. RefSeq lists it as uncharacterized. The record is from RefSeq and is a predicted model, not a curated record. The transcript has 3 exons. NCBI's taxonomy places the organism in Eukaryota, Metazoa, Chordata, Mammalia, Rodentia, Muridae.